GACGAACGCUGGCGGCGUGCUUAACACAUGCAAGUGGAGCGACGAACCAGGGCUUGCCCUGGGGCAGAGCCGCGAACGGGUGAGUAACACGUGGGUAACCUACCCCGAUGACCGGGACAACCCGAGGAAACUCGGGCUAAUACCGGAUGUGCUCUUGAUUCAUGAGGAUCACGAGUAAAGAUAGCUUCGGCCUUCGCAUCGGGACGGGCCCGCGGCCCAUUAGCUUGUUGGUGGGGUAACGGCCUACCAAGGCGACGAUGGGUAGCUGGUCUGAGAGGACGAUCAGCCACACUGGGACUGAGACACGGCCCAGACUCCUACGGGAGGCAGCAGUGGGGAAUCUUGCGCAAUGCGCGAAAGCGUGACGCAGCAACGCCGCGUGGGGGAAGAAGGCCUUCGGGUUGUAAAGCUCUUUCAGCGGGGAAGAUAAUGACGGUACCCGCAGAAGAAGCCCCGGCUAACUUCGUGCCAGCCGCCGCCGUAACAC
This 487-nucleotide ribosomal RNA is filed under the name uncultured bacterium. Its description in RNAcentral is "bacterial SSU rRNA". It matches the Rfam family "Bacterial small subunit ribosomal RNA", at positions 28 to 526 of the family's 1533-position model. The record is from RNAcentral.